RNAcentral lists this transfer RNA (77 nucleotides) under Rhodospirillales bacterium. RNAcentral's name for it is "tRNA-Arg". It matches the Rfam family "tRNA". From Rfam's summary of the family: Transfer RNA (tRNA) molecules are approximately 80 nucleotides in length. Their secondary structure includes four short double-helical elements and three loops (D, anti-codon, and T loops). The record is from RNAcentral. Lineage: Bacteria; Pseudomonadati; Pseudomonadota; Alphaproteobacteria; Rhodospirillales.
GGCCCCGUAGCUCAGUUGGAUAGAGCACCUCAUUCCUAAUGAGGGGGUCAGAAGUUCGAAUCUUCUCGGGGUCACCA